Molecule: ribosomal RNA, 620 nt
Filed under: uncultured bacterium
Lineage: Bacteria
Description: bacterial SSU rRNA
Rfam family: Bacterial small subunit ribosomal RNA
Source: RNAcentral
GUAAACUGCUUUUGUACGGGAAGAAAAAAAGCUACGUGUAGUUUACUGACGGUACCGUAAGAAUAAGGAUCGGCUAACUCCGUGCCAGCAGCCGCGGUAAUACGGAGGAUCCAAGCGUUAUCCGGAAUCAUUGGGUUUAAAGGGUCCGUAGGCGGCCUUAUAAGUCAGCGGUGAAAGUUUUUGGCUUAACCAAAAAAUUGCCGUUGUUACUGUAGGGCUUGAAUGUUUGUGAAGUAACUAGAAUAUGUAGUGUAGCGGUGAAAUGCUUAGAUAUUACAUGGAAUACCAAUUGCGAAGGCAGGUUACUAACAAAUGAUUGACGCUGAUGGACGAAAGCGUGGGUAGCGAACAGGAUUAGAUACCCUGGUAGUCCACGCCGUAAACGAUGGAUACUAGCUGUUUGUUCGCAAGGAUGAGUGGCUAAGCGAAAGUGAUAAGUAUCCCACCUGGGGAGUACGGGCGCAAGCCUGAAACUCAAAGGAAUUGACGGGGGCCCGCACAAGCGGUGGAGCAUGUGGUUUAAUUCGAUGAUACGCGAGGAACCUUACCAGGGCUUAAAUGUAGAUUGACAGGCGUGGAAACAUGCUUUUCUUCGGACAAUUUACAAGGUGCUGCAUGGU